Molecule: long non-coding RNA, 239 nt
Organism: Amblyraja radiata (thorny skate)
Lineage: Eukaryota; Metazoa; Chordata; Chondrichthyes; Rajiformes; Rajidae
Exons: 3
Source: RefSeq, a predicted model, not a curated record
UCUCUCUCUCUCUCACACACCUCUCUCUCUCUCACCUCUCUCUCUCUCUCUCUCUCUCUCUCUCCUCUCCCUCUCUCUCUGGAAGAUGUUUUGAAUAACCCAGGACAAGAAGUGAUGGUCCAGGCACAAAAGCACAAACCAACAAAAUGCAUUCCAUUCCACUUAAUUCCUUAAAGACGUUUAUUUUCAACUUAAUAUCCUUCUGCAAGUUAAAUAUAAUCAGAGAAUAAUCAAGGUAU